This 441-nucleotide ribosomal RNA is filed under the name uncultured bacterium. RNAcentral describes it as "partial 16S ribosomal RNA". It matches the Rfam family "Bacterial small subunit ribosomal RNA", at positions 338 to 795 of the family's 1533-position model. The record is from RNAcentral.
CCUACGGGUGGCAGCAGUGGGGGAUAUUGCACAAUGGGGGAAACCCUGAUGCAGCGACGCAGCGUGGGUGAAGAUGUAUUUCGGUAUGUAAAGCCCUAUCAGCAGGGAAGAAAGAAGACGGUACCUGACUAAGAAGCCCCGGCUAACUACGUGCCAGCAGCCGCGGUCAUAUGUAGGGGGCGAGCGUUAGCCGGAUUCACUGGGUGUAAAGGGAGCGUAGACGGCUGUGCAAGGCAGUAGUGAAAGCAUGGGGCCCAUCCGCGGGACUGCUAUUGGACCUGUGCGGCUAGAGUGUGGGAGGGGCAGGCGGAAUUCGUGGUGUAGCGGUGAAAUGCGUAGAUAUCACGAGGAACGCCGAUGGCGAAGGCAGCCUGCUGGACCGCGACUGACGUUGAUGCUCGAAAGCGUGGGGAGCGAACAGGAUUAGAUACCCCAGUAGUC